GUGGGGAAUAUUGGACAAUGGGGGGAACCCUGAUCCAGCCAUGCCGCGUGUGUGAAGAAGGCCUUUUGGUUGUAAAGCACUUUAAGCGAGGAGGAGGCUACUCUAGUUAAUACCUAGGGAUAGUGGACGUUACUCGCAGAAUAAGCACCGGCUAACUCUGUGCCAGCAGCCGCGGUAAUACAGAGGGUGCAAGCGUUAAUCGGAUUUACUGGGCGUAAAGCGCGCGUAGGUGGCCAAUUAAGUCAAAUGUGAAAUCCCCGAGCUUAACUUGGGAAUUGCAUUCGAUACUGGUUGGCUAGAGUAUGGGAGAGGAUGGUAGAAUUCCAGGUGUAGCGGUGAAAUGCGUAGAGAUCUGGAGGAAUACCGAUGGCGAAGGCAGCCAUCUGGCCUAAUACUGACACUGAGGUGCGAAAGCAUGGGGAGCAAACAGGAUUAGAAACCCUGGUAGUCC
This 451-nucleotide ribosomal RNA is filed under the name uncultured bacterium. RNAcentral's name for it is "partial 16S ribosomal RNA". It matches the Rfam family "Bacterial small subunit ribosomal RNA", at positions 354 to 796 of the family's 1533-position model. The record is from RNAcentral.